Molecule: ribosomal RNA, 460 nt
Filed under: uncultured bacterium
Lineage: Bacteria
Description: partial 16S ribosomal RNA
Rfam family: Bacterial small subunit ribosomal RNA
Source: RNAcentral
CCUACGGGUGGCAGCAGUGAGGAAUAUUGGUCAAUGGGCGUAAGCCUGAACCAGCCAAGUCGCGUGAGGGAUGAAGGUUCUAUGGAUCGUAAACCUCUUUUAUAAGGGAAUAAAGUGCGGGAUGUGUCCCGUUUUGUAUGUACCUUAUGAAUAAGGAUCGGCUAACUCCGUGCCAGCAGCAGCGGUAAUAAGGAGGAUUCGAGCGUUAUCCGGAUUUAUUGGGUUUAAAGGGUGCGUAGGCGGCCUUUUAAGUCAGCGGUGGACGUCUGUAGCUCAACCCUCGAAUUGCCGUGGAAACUGGGAGGCUUGAGUGUGUUUGAGGCAGGCGGAAUGCGUGGUGUAGCGGUGAAAUGCUUAGAUAUCACGAAGAACCCCGAUUGCGAAGGCAGCCUGCCAAGCCAUGACUGACGCUGAUGCACGAAAGCGUGGGGAUCAAACAGGAUUAGAUACCCUAGUAGUC